Molecule: ribosomal RNA, 317 nt
Filed under: uncultured bacterium
Lineage: Bacteria
Description: bacterial SSU rRNA
Rfam family: Bacterial small subunit ribosomal RNA
Source: RNAcentral
GAUAAACGCUGGCGGCGCACAUAAGACAUGCAAGUCGAACGGACUUAACCGAAAUGUUUACAUUUUGGAGCGGUUAGUGGCGGACUGGUGAGUAACACGUAAGCAACCUGCCUAUUAGAGGGGAAUAACAGUGAGAAAUCAUUGCUAAUACCGCAUAUGCCAUAAUCACCACAUGGUGAUAGUGGGAAAGGAGCAAUCCGCUAAUAGAUGGGCUUGCGUCUGAUUAGAUAGUUGGUGGGGUAACGGCCUACCAAGUCGACGAUCAGUAGCCGGACUGAGAGGUUGAACGGCCACAUUGGGACUGAGAUACGGCCCAG